AUCAAGAGAACGUGCAGUCAAACUACAUAGCCUCGUUGUGAAUAGCCAACAUACCACAGGUCAAAAGACCAGUCACACCACUGCAGCAUCGAAAAGAUCACUGAUGAGUGUGUAAAUAUUCAAGUGAUUUCUUAUGUUGGUAACUCUCAGUAUAAAUUAUUCUCCAACAAUCACCUACACUCUCACUCCAAUGUCUCUACACCA
Molecule: long non-coding RNA, 204 nt
Filed under: Elaeis guineensis (African oil palm)
Lineage: Eukaryota; Viridiplantae; Streptophyta; Magnoliopsida; Arecales; Arecaceae
Description: long non-coding RNA (EGUI_LNC055880)
Source: RNAcentral